GGGGAAUUUUGGACAAUGGACGCAAGUCUGAUCCAGCCAUUCCGCGUGCAGGACGAAGGCCUUCGGGUUGUAAACUGCUUUUGUACGGAACGAAAAAGCUCUUACUAAUACUAGGAGUCCAUGACGGUACCGUAAGAAUAAGCACCGGCUAACUACGUGCCAGCAGCCGCGGUAAUACGUAGGGUGCAAGCGUUAAUCGGAAUUACUGGGCGUAAAGCGUGCGCAGGCGGUUAUAUAAGACAGAUGUGAAAUCCCCGAGCUUAACUUGGGAACUGCAUUUGUGACUGUAUAGCUAGAGUACGGCAGAGGGGGAUGGAAUUCCGCGUGUAGCAGUGAAAUGCGUAGAUAUGCGGAGGAACACCGAUGGCGAAGGCAAUCCCCUGGGCCUGUACUGACGCUCAUGCACGAAAGCGUGGGGAGCAAACAGGA
Molecule: ribosomal RNA, 429 nt
Filed under: uncultured Limnohabitans sp.
Lineage: Bacteria; Pseudomonadati; Pseudomonadota; Betaproteobacteria; Burkholderiales; Comamonadaceae
Description: bacterial SSU rRNA
Rfam family: Bacterial small subunit ribosomal RNA
Source: RNAcentral